UGCCAGCCGCCGCGGUAAUACAUAGGGGUCAAGCGUUGUCCGGAUUUAUUGGGCGUAAAGAGCGCGUAGGUUGCUUGUUAAGCGAGAUGUGAAAGCCCCGGGCUUAACCUGGGAACUGCAUUUCGAACUGGCAGGCUAGAGUACGGUAGAGGGUAGUGGAAUUUCCUGUGUAGCGGUGAAAUGCGUAGAGAUGGGAAGGAACAUCAGUGGCGAAGGCGACUGCCUGGACUGAUACUGACACUGAGGUGCGAAAGCGUGGGUAGCGAACAGGAUUAGAUA
This 279-nucleotide ribosomal RNA is filed under the name uncultured bacterium. RNAcentral's name for it is "partial 16S ribosomal RNA". It matches the Rfam family "Bacterial small subunit ribosomal RNA", at positions 506 to 784 of the family's 1533-position model. The record is from RNAcentral.